CUAGCCUACGGGACGCAGCAGUGGGGGAUAUUGCACAAUGGGGGAAACCCUGAUGCAGCAACGCCGCGUGUGGGAAGAAGGUUUUCGGAUUGUAAACCACUGUUCUUGGUGAAGAUAAUGACGGUAACCAAGGAGAAAGCUCCGGCUAACUACGUGCCAGCAGCCGCGGUAAUACGUAGGGAGCAAGCGUUAUCCGGAUUUACUGGGUGUAAAGGGCGUGUAGGCGGGCCUGCAAGUCAGAAGUGAAAUCUGGGGGCUUAACCCCCAAACUGCUUUUGAAACUGUGGGUCUUGAGUGAUGGAGAG
RNAcentral lists this ribosomal RNA (305 nucleotides) under uncultured bacterium. Its description in RNAcentral is "bacterial SSU rRNA". It matches the Rfam family "Bacterial small subunit ribosomal RNA", at positions 333 to 656 of the family's 1533-position model. The record is from RNAcentral.